AUUGAACGCUGGCGGCAGGCCUAACAACUGCAAGUCGAGCGGAGCGGCGGACGGGUGAGUAAUGCCUAGGAAUCUGCAUGGUAGUGGGGGAUAAAGUCCGGAAACGGGCGCUAAUACCGCAUACUAUCAGAUGAGCCUAGGUCGGAUUAGCUAGUGGGUGGGGUAAAGGCCUACAAAGGCGAGGAUCCGUAACUGGUCUGAGAGGAUGAUAAGUCACAUUGGAACUGCGACACGGUCCAGAUUCCUACGUGAGGCAGCAGUGGGGAAUAUUGGACAAUGGGCGAAAGCCUGAUCCAGCCAUGCCGCGUGUGUGAAGAAGGUCUUCGGAUUGUAAAGCACUUUAAGUUGGGAGGCGUUACCAACAGAAUAAGCACCGGCUAACGUCGUGCCAGCAGCCGCGGUAAUUC
Molecule: ribosomal RNA, 407 nt
Filed under: uncultured bacterium
Lineage: Bacteria
Description: partial 16S ribosomal RNA
Rfam family: Bacterial small subunit ribosomal RNA
Source: RNAcentral